AACGCGAAGAACCUUACCUGGACUUGACAUCCCCUGCAUAUCUUAGAGAUAAGAGAAGCCNUUCGGGGCAGGGAGACAGGUGGUGCAUGGUGUCGUCAGCUCGUGUCGUGAGAUGUUAGGUUAAGUCCUGCAACGAGCGCAACCCCUAUUGUUAGUUGCUAGCAGUAAGAUGAGCACUCUAACGAGACANCCGCGGUUAACGCGGAGGAAGGUGGGGAUGACGUCAAAUCAUCAUGCCCCUUAUGUCCAGGGCAACACACGUGCUACAAUGGGCAGAACAGAGAGAAGCAAGACCGCGAGGUGGAGCGAACCUUGAAAACUGCUCCCAGUUCGGAUUGUCAGGCUGAAACCCGCCUGCCAUGAAGUCUGGAGUUGCUAGUAAUCGCGAAUCAGCAUGUCGCGGUUCCG
This 408-nucleotide ribosomal RNA is filed under the name uncultured bacterium. RNAcentral's name for it is "bacterial SSU rRNA". It matches the Rfam family "Bacterial small subunit ribosomal RNA", at positions 958 to 1363 of the family's 1533-position model. The record is from RNAcentral.